GUCCGCAGACAGACGAGAAGAAGCUGCUGAAUGCUCUCAGUGGAUCGUCUCGUCAACUCCAACAACAAACUGCCGAUAUCAACGAGCGGUUCGCUCCACUGGAGCGUUUGGGACUCUGCGGGUUUCUGUCCAUGGAGGAGAGGAACUGACUCAAAGAAGAGGAGACGGGCGCACAAUCCCAAGAUAGGGAAGCGGUGCGCCGUCUCCACAACACCGAGACGAAUUACAGGCGCUACGAACCGGAGCAAGGACUAAUCUCGCCUCAUAAUGAGGCGGUGACCUUGUAUUUGCUCCGGGAAAAGUCCAGAUUUAGACGACGUCAUUGUGUCCGCCUGUAAGACGUAUUUUGAGACGGGACGCAGGAGCUUCAGGUUCAGCCGGAACACUCAUUGCGGGCGGAAGCUGCGAAGGAUUCAGCGCGGAGUCAAGCGAGAAGAAAGAGGCUGCUGGAAUCGAGACAAAGUGUGCUGGCUGAUGGUGGAACUCUGGAAAUCCACCACCGUAGAGCUCACGUCGGACGGAGAGGAUGGCGUUGUUGGCGGUGUCUCGGGGUGGAUUGUACGGUCGCCGCAAUUUCUGAGUCAGUCCCGGUUAGAGGCGACUCAGAAAUACAGAGCCACACACACUAGGCGCCUGCACAACAGACCUGCCUCGGAAAACACGGCGCAAGUGACGGUCAACAACCCCGAGGAGGCAAACGGACAGUUUACUGAGCUGUAGUUUUUUAAACCGCCUUUACCCAAGUGUGGGCAGAUCCUCACUUUGUAUGUAGUUGUUGAUUGUGUGUUGUUAAUAAAGCUCUUUCUUUGCA
Long non-coding RNA from Gasterosteus aculeatus aculeatus (three-spined stickleback), 811 nucleotides. NCBI's taxonomy places the organism in Eukaryota, Metazoa, Chordata, Actinopteri, Perciformes, Gasterosteidae. The record is from Ensembl.